GUAGAGUUUACCUAGAGUUCACCAACCACUAGUUUCACCACCAAGCAGUGGCUAUUCCUGGCCUGCUAUCUCCUUAUGGCUCUUUCAGAAUCACUGUAACCCAGUUCAAGUGCACAGUAACCACUUUAUGAAUGGCUUCAGCAAAUCUCUCUUCAACAUUAUCUUCUCCACUGAUGCUCACUUACCCCCUUUGGCUCUGUGAAGGUAGUCACCAUCACCUGAGCUUUCAUAUGGACAUUUUAUGUAGGGGGAAAAAAAGGACUAUUCUUAUGUUUAAGCCACCCUGUG
Pelobates cultripes (western spadefoot toad) is the source of this 288-nucleotide non-coding RNA. NCBI's taxonomy places the organism in Eukaryota, Metazoa, Chordata, Amphibia, Anura, Pelobatidae. The record is from the annotation of a GenBank genome assembly.